This 400-nucleotide ribosomal RNA is filed under the name uncultured eukaryote. Its description in RNAcentral is "SSU rRNA". It matches the Rfam family "Eukaryotic small subunit ribosomal RNA", at positions 587 to 1000 of the family's 1831-position model. The record is from RNAcentral.
AGCUCCAAUAGCGUAUAUUAAAGUUGUUGCAGUUAAAAAGCUCGUAGUUGGAUUUCUGGGAGGGUGCUAAUGCCCGCCGUAGCGCGCGCGCAGCAGCGCCCUUCCAUCCUUCUGUUAACGCCUCUUGGCAUUCAUUUGCUGGUGGCGGGCUCAGAUAUUUUACCUUGAGAAAAUUAGAGUGUUUCAGGCAGGCUAGGCCGGAAUAUAUUAGCAUGGAAUAAUGGAAUAGGACUAUGGUCUCUUUGUUGGUUUGAGGGACUGCAGUAAUGAUUAACAGGGACAGUCAGGGGGCACUCGUAUUCCGCCGAGAGAGGUGAAAUUCUCAGACCAGCGGAAGACGAACCACUGCGAAAGCAUUGCCAGGGAUGUUUUCACUGAUCAAAGAACGAAAGUUAGAACG